GUACACUCCUACGGGAGGCAGCAGUGGGGAAUAUUGGACAAUGGGCGCAAGCCUGAUCCAGCCAUGCCGCGUGAGUGAUGAAGGCCCUAGGGUUGUAAAGCUCUUUCACCGGUGAAGAUAAUGACGGUAACCGGAGAAGAAGCCCCGGCUAACUUCGUGCCAGCAGCCGCGGUAAUACGAAGGGGGCUAGCGUUGUUCGGAUUUACUGGGCGUAAAGCGCACGUAGGCGGACUAUUAAGUCAGGGGUGAAAUCCCGGGGCUCAACCCCGGAACUGCCUUUGAUACUGGUAGUCUUGAGUUCGAGAGAGGUGAGUGGAAUUCCGAGUGUAGAGGUGAAAUUCGUAGAUAUUCGGAGGAACACCAGUGGCGAAGGCGGCUCACUGGCUCGAUACUGACGCUGAGGUGCGAAAGCGUGGGGAGCAAACAGGAUUAGAAACCCGUGUAGUCCCAUGA
This 453-nucleotide ribosomal RNA is filed under the name uncultured organism. Its description in RNAcentral is "partial 16S ribosomal RNA". It matches the Rfam family "Bacterial small subunit ribosomal RNA", at positions 331 to 800 of the family's 1533-position model. The record is from RNAcentral.